Molecule: ribosomal RNA, 253 nt
Filed under: uncultured bacterium
Lineage: Bacteria
Description: partial 16S ribosomal RNA
Rfam family: Bacterial small subunit ribosomal RNA
Source: RNAcentral
UACGAAGGGGGCUAGCGUUGCUCGGAAUGACUGGGCGUAAAGGGCGCGUAGGCGGUUUGUACAGUCAGGUGUGAAAUUCCCGGGCUCAACCUGGGGGCUGCACUUGAUACGUAGGAACUGGAGUGGGGAAGAGGGUCGUGGAAUUCCCAGUGUAGAGGUGAAAUUCGUAGAUAUUGGGAAGAACACCGGUGGCGAAGGCGGCAUCCUGGACCGAUACUGACGCUGAUGAGCGAAGGCCAGGGGAGCAAACGGG